AGAGGACAGAGAGGUAGAGGACAGAGAGAUAGAGGACAGAGAGGUAGAGGACAGAGAGGUAGAGGACAGAGAGGUAGAGGACAGAGAGGUAGAGGACAGAGAGAUAGAGGACAGAGAGAUAGAGGACAGAGAGAUAGAGGACAGAGAGGUAGAGGACAGAGAGAUAGAGGACAGAGAGA
Salvelinus fontinalis (brook trout) is the source of this 179-nucleotide long non-coding RNA. RefSeq lists it as uncharacterized. The record is from RefSeq and is a predicted model, not a curated record. Lineage: Eukaryota; Metazoa; Chordata; Actinopteri; Salmoniformes; Salmonidae. The transcript has 3 exons.